CAACAUCACUGACAGGAUAUAGAAUACACCACCUGGACAACAUCACUGACAGGAUAUAGAAUACAACCAGGUGGACAACAUCACUGACAGGAUAUAGAAUACACCACCUGGACAACAUCACUGACAGGAUAUAGAAUACACCCACCUGGACAACAUCACUGACAGGAUAUAGAAUACACCACCUGGACAACAUCACUGACAGGAUAUAGAAUACACCCACCUGGACAACAUCACUGACAGGAUAUAGAAUACAACCAGGUGGACAACAUCACUGACAGGAUAUAGAAUACACCACCUGGACAACAUCACUGACAGGAUAUAGAAUACACCACCUGGACAACAUCACUGACAGGAUAUAGAAUACACCACCUGGACAACAUCACUGACAGGAUAUAGAAUACACCCACCUGGACAACAUCACUGACAGGAUAUAGAAUACACCACCUGGACAACAUCACUGACAGGAUAUAGAAUACACCACCUGGACAACAUCACUGACAGGAUAUAGAAUACACCACCUGGACAACAUCACUGACAGGAUAUAGAAUACACCCACCUGGACAACAUCACUGACAGGAUAUAGAAUACACCACCUGGACAACAUCACUGACAGGAUAUAGAAUACACCCACCUGGACAACAUCACUGACAGGAUAUAGAAUACACCCACCUGGACAACAUCACUGACAGGAUAUAGAAUACACCACCUGGACAACAUCACUGACAGGAUAUAGAAUACACCACCUGGACAACAUCACUGACAGGAUAUAGAAUACACCACCUGGACAACAUCACUGACAGGAUAUAGAAUACAACCAGGUGGACAACAUCACUGACAGGAUAUAGAAUACACCACCUGGACAACAUCACUGACAGGAUAUAGAAUACACCACCUGGACAACAUCACUGACAGGAUAUAGAAUACAACCAGGUGGACAACAUCACUGACAGGAUGUAGAAUACACCACCUGGACAACAUCACUGACAGGAUAUAGAAUACACCACCUGGACAACAUCACUGACAGGAUAUAGAAUACACCACCUGGACAACAUCACUGACAGGAUAUAGAAUACACCACCUGGACAACAUCACUGACAGGAUAUAGAAUACAACCAGGUGGACAACAUCACUGACAGGAUAUAGAAUACACCACCUGGACAACAUCACUGACAGGAUAUAGAAUACACCACCUGGACAACAUCAUUGACAGGAUAUAGAAUACACCCACCUGGACAACAUCACUGACAGGAUAUAGAAUACACCACCUGGACAACAUCACUGACAGGAUAUAGAAUACAACCAGGUGGACAACAUCACUGACAGGAUGUAGAAUACACCACCUGGACAACAUCACUGACAGGAUAUAGAAUACACCCACCUGGACAACAUCACUGACAGGAUGUAGAAUACACCACCUGGACAACAUCACUGACAGGAUAUAGAAUACAACCAGGUGGACAACAUCACUGACAGGAUAUAGAAUACAACCAGGUGGACAACAUCACUGACAGGAUGUAGAAUACACCCACCUGGACAACAUCACUGACAGGAUGUAGAAUACACCACCUGGACAACAUCACUGACAGGAUAUAGAAUACAACCAGGUGGACAACAUCACUGACAGGAUAUAGAAUACACCACCUGGACAACAUCACUGACAGGAUAUAGAAUACACCCACCUGGACAACAUCACUGACAGGAUAUAGAAUACAACCAGGUGGACAACAUCACUGACAGGAUAUAGAAUACACCCACCUGGACAACAUCACUGACAGGAUAUAGAAUACACCACCUGGACAACAUCACUGACAGGAUAUAGAAUACAACCAGGUGGACAACAUCACUGACAGGAUAUAGAAUACACCCACCUGGACAACAUCACUGACAGGAUAUAGAAUACACCCACCUGGACAACAUCACUGACAGGAUAUAGAAUACACCCACCUGGACAACAUCACUGACAGGAUAUAGAAUACACCACCUGGACAACAUCACUGACAGGAUAUAGAAUACACCACCUGGACAACAUCACUGACAGGAUAUAGAAUACACCACCUGGACAACAUCACUGACAGGAUGUAGAAUACACCCACCUGGACAACAUCACUGACAGGAUGUAGAAUACACCCACCUGGACAACAUCACUGACAGGAUGUAGAAUACACCACCUGGACAACAUCACUGACAGGAUAUAGAAUACACCAGGUGGACAACAUCACUGACAGGAUAUAGAAUACACCCACCUGGACAACAUCACUGACAGGAUAUAGAAUACAACCAGGUGGACAACAUCACUGACAGGAUAUAGAAUACACCACCUGGACAACAUCACUGACAGGAUAUAGAAUACACCCACCUGGACAACAUCACUGACAGGAUGUAGAAUACACCACCUGGACAACAUCACUGACAGGAUAUAGAAUACAACCAGGUGGACAACAUCACUGACAGGAUAUAGAAUACAACCAGGUGGACAACAUCACUGACAGGAUGUAGAAUACACCCACCUGGACAACAUCACUGACAGGAUGUAGAAUACACCACCUGGACAACAUCACUGACAGGAUAUAGAAUACAACCAGGUGGACAACAUCACUGACAGGAUAUAGAAUACAACCAGGUGGACAACAUCACUGACAGGAUAUAGAAUACACCACCUGGACAACAUCACUGACAGGAUAUAGAAUACACCACCUGGACAACAUCACUGACAGGAUAUAGAAUACACCCACCUGGACAACAUCACUGACAGGAUAUAGAAUACACCACCUGGACAACAUCACUGACAGGAUAUAGAAUACAACCACCUGGACAACAUCACUGACAGGAUAUAGAAUACACCACCUGGACAACAUCACUGACAGGAUAUAGAAUACACCCACCUGGACAACAUCACUGACAGGAUAUAGAAUACACCCACCUGGACAACAUCACUGACAGGAUAUAGAAUACACCCACCUGGACAACAUCACUGACAGGAUAUAGAAUACACCCACCUGGACAACAUCACUGACAGGAUAUAGAAUACACCCACCUGGACAACAUCACUGACAGGAUAUAGAAUACACCCACCUGGACAACAUCACUGACAGGAUAUAGACAGAUUAAACCAGGUGGACAAUGUGUCUGAUAUGGACCGGACACAGCAGCACUGCUCUGAUGACCUGCAGAGAAGAGAGGACACAAACAGACAGAGGUACAGAAGACGUUACUUGAAUCACCUUCCAGAGACAUUACAUAACACAUGAAUAAUGUACAGAUAUGUGUAAAACCCACUGAUCGUGGUACCCCCCCCCCUUUUGAUUAAUGUAUUCAACAUGACCCCGGAGCAACAUACUCCUAAUGCUGAGAAACAGGUGUGUGAAAAUGACAGAUAAUGACAACAAUACGAGGAGGGAGGGGGGGGUUCUGUAUGUAGACGUUGAAUAAUGUAAUGUUCUGUAUAGAUAAUGCCAUCAAUAAGACGAGGUUCGGUAUGGUGACAUGGAAUAAUAUCGUGUUCUACACCAUAACAUAAUGUUGAAAACGUGGACAGCUCGUCAGGCAGAAAUAAAGACCGUAGUUUUCAUUCUGUGUCAACAAACUGUUCUAAAAAAAAAAAAGACUUAUCUGUUCUUCUCGGCUCUGUUGGCUGUUGGAGUUAUUACAUUGUUAAAUCUAUAUUUUUUUAAGGUAUUAUAUAUAUCUAUAUGUUUUAUAUGAAAAGGGAUUGGUUUGAAAACUGGAGAUUUUUAUUUGAUAGAUUUAUAACAUCGAUUAUUUUUAUUUUUUUAUGUUGAUAAAAUGUUUUGUCUUGAUGAGAACAUGGCAGGCAGGUAGAGGGUGACAAAAAAACAAAAUGGCUUCCUUUCAAAACAAUCAUUAUUCUGUGUUCACGUGCUAAUCGGAACUUGGAACUUUCCGACUUGCUAACUGGUCGUGGUUAUACACGUGUCGCGUUCAACCAGUUAGAAAGUCAGAAUUUCCUAGUUUCCGACUAGCAAGUGAACACGACUUUAAAGCCCCGUUUUCCGGCGCAGGGAUAUGACGUCAUCAGUAUGAAUCUGCUGCAGGUGUUUUGACGAAUGUUCAUAUGUCUUUUUUUUUUUUAUCAUUUAAAUGAUUGAUUGUUUAAAAAAAAAAAAAGUGUUUUUAUCAGAAUGCUGUAUCACUGUUUAUUGAUUGAAGGCAUCUACCUCAGUGUCCGCAUCACGUUUCAUUUUAAACAGCAGCUGUAACCGCUGGGUCGUGUUCAAAUGGAAGAAAACAGGGAGGUGACUACCUUUGAGUUGUCCAAUAAGAAACACUCAUUUUUGGGUUUUUUCCCCAUGGCAAAACGGUUUGGUACGGGCAGUACAGGUCACAAAUGGCGGGAACGGGAAAGAACGGGUCGGGGUCAUAACAUAGUGGAAACGCAAAUAUUCACUUCACUGUGCUGAGUCUCUUCACGCCAUCCCACACCCACUGACCCCAUCUCCCUCCCCAGCACUGAGCCAUCUCACUGACCCCAUCUCCCUCCCCAGCAUUGAGCCAUCUCACACCCACUGACCCCAUCUCCCUCCCCAGCACUGAGCCAUCUCACACCUACUGACCCCAUCUCCCUCCCCAGCACUGAGCCAUCUCACACCCACUGACCCCAUCUCCCUCCCCAGCACUGAGCCAUCUCACUGACCCCAUCUCCCUCCCCAGCACUGAGCCAUCUCACUGACCCCAUCUCCCUCCCCAGCACUGAGCCUCAGAGGGCUGGAACAGGCUAGCCAGGUCAGAGCGUAUUACCAGCUAACUGCUCAGCAGGCUGACCACAGGGGUCUAUGUCUCUCAGUGUGACCGAACUCUCCAGCACAACAGCCGCUAGGCUAGUUAGGAGAAACAAGCUUAAUUGAUACAGGAGGGAAUCAACAGGUUCAUUGAUUCUGACUGGAGAUGAGAUGCUUUUCUUAUGAUGUUUAAAUUCAUAUGAUUGUUGAGACAUUUCCUCUUUAAUUUGUGAUCUAUUUUUUGAUGAAUAAACAUUUUUAUUAUUAUCGAUUGUAUUUACUUGGCCACCGUGGCCUUUUUAUUGCCUUUAACAUCCCUUAUCUCACCUCAUUUGCUCACAUUGUAUAUAGACUUAUUUUUUCUACUGUAUUAUUGACUGUAUGUUUGUUUAUGUGUAACUCUGUGUUGUUGUAUGUGUCGAACUGCUUUGCUUUAUCUUGGCCAGGUCGCAAUUGUAAAUGAGAACGUGUUCUCAACUUGCCUACUUGGUUAUAUAUAAAGGUGAAAUAAAAAUAAAAUAAAUAAAUAGUU
Molecule: long non-coding RNA, 5268 nt
Organism: Salvelinus fontinalis (brook trout)
Lineage: Eukaryota; Metazoa; Chordata; Actinopteri; Salmoniformes; Salmonidae
Exons: 3
Source: RefSeq, a predicted model, not a curated record